UGAGGAAUAUUGGUCAAUGGACGCAAGUCUGAACCAGCCAAGUAGCGUGCAGGAUGACGGCCCUAUGGGUUGUAAACUGCUUUUAUAUGGGGAUAAAGUGAGGGACGUGUCCCUUAUUGCAUGUACCAUACGAAUAAGGACCGGCUAAUUCCGUGCCAGCAGCCGCGGUAAUACGGAAGGUCCAGGCGUUAUCCGGAUUUAUUGGGUUUAAAGGGAGCGUAGGCUGUUUGUUAAGCGUGUUGUGAAAUGUAAGAGCUCAACUUUUAGAUUGCAGCGCGAACUGGCAGACUUGAGUGCGCACAACGUAGGCGGAAUUCAUGGUGUAGCGGUGAAAUGCUUAGAUAUCAUGACGAACUCCGAUUGCGAAGGCAGCUUACGGGAGCGCAACUGACGCUAAAGCUCGAAGGUGCGGGUAUCGAACAGG
RNAcentral lists this ribosomal RNA (424 nucleotides) under Verrucomicrobiota bacterium. RNAcentral describes it as "Verrucomicrobia bacterium partial 16S ribosomal RNA". It matches the Rfam family "Bacterial small subunit ribosomal RNA", at positions 355 to 776 of the family's 1533-position model. The record is from RNAcentral. Lineage: Bacteria; Pseudomonadati; Verrucomicrobiota.